Molecule: transfer RNA, 72 nt
Filed under: Candidatus Latescibacterota bacterium
Lineage: Bacteria; Pseudomonadati; Candidatus Latescibacterota
Also listed under: 1 other name
Description: tRNA-Ile
Rfam family: tRNA
About the family: Transfer RNA (tRNA) molecules are approximately 80 nucleotides in length. Their secondary structure includes four short double-helical elements and three loops (D, anti-codon, and T loops).
Source: RNAcentral
GGGCCCAUAGCUCAGCGGUAGAGCCCCCGGCUCAUAACCGGUCGGUCACAGGUUCAAAUCCUGUUGGGCCCA